GAGACUGACCCUCCUGAAUACUGUGUGGUUGCCCCUGAUACUGAGAUCUUCUGUGAGGGAGAGCCAGUGAGAAGGGAAGAUGAGAAUCGAUUAGAUGAGGUUGGCUAUGAUGAUGUUGGUGGGGUUAGAAAGCAGAUGGCUCAGAUUCGAGAAUUAGUAGAACUUCCAUUAAGGCACCCGCAGCUCUUUAAGUCAAUUGGUGUGAAGCCACCGAAAGGAAUUUUGCUUUAUGGACCUCCUGGAUCUGGGAAGACACUGAU
RNAcentral lists this long non-coding RNA (260 nucleotides) under Citrus x clementina. RNAcentral describes it as "Citrus clementina (C. clementina) long non-coding RNA (CCLE_LNC001766)". The record is from RNAcentral. Lineage: Eukaryota; Viridiplantae; Streptophyta; Magnoliopsida; Sapindales; Rutaceae.